UGAUGAACUUUGUGAUCAAGAAAGCAGCUGAUGAGACCGAGACUAUUCUGGAAACAACCCCGGCUGGCAAAAGCGAUGGGGAAGGUGCACUUCGAGCAUUCAUUAAGGGCCAAAAGUUAAGGCGGCUAUCAAACCUUUUCGGUUGUCGUGACCCCGAGUAUGUAUCACCAGAACGGUCUAGGU
This is a non-coding RNA of Aegilops tauschii subsp. strangulata, 183 nucleotides long. Lineage: Eukaryota; Viridiplantae; Streptophyta; Magnoliopsida; Poales; Poaceae. The record is from RefSeq and is a predicted model, not a curated record.